GGUAAUUUGGAAUUUUCGUGACCUAUGCUGUGACUUUUGAAGCUGCAGCGAGCUUAUUCCAGAAGACUGAAAAAGAGGUUGAAAAUGACAUUUCCAAGUGGCUGCGGAAGUGCACAGACCGAUCAAAAAAGCAAGAACUUAGAAAUUAACAUUUAUCAUUUACUACAUAUAUAUGUCAUACUCAUAAGAAUGUUAAAAAUAAAUUUACACUUUUAUUG
Photinus pyralis (common eastern firefly) is the source of this 218-nucleotide long non-coding RNA. RefSeq lists it as uncharacterized. NCBI's taxonomy places the organism in Eukaryota, Metazoa, Arthropoda, Insecta, Coleoptera, Lampyridae. The transcript is spliced from 2 exons. The record is from RefSeq and is a predicted model, not a curated record.